GAGAUCAAAAACAUAAACUAAGACCAAAUCCUAAUAGUAAAAUUAAAGAAACAAAAACCCAAGGUAAAAUUUUACCCAAAAAGAUCAAACAAUAAGAAAAAAAUAUCAGAAUGCUCUAGAAACCGCAUUAAAUGUCAUUACUCUGCCCAAUCUGAAAAACGAUCUAAAUUCGUCUUCUCUGAUCAUCUGCCAUUUCUUGUUAAAGACGAUUCCAGAUUUCCAAGGAGAGCUUUUUCCACCGAGCAUAUUGAUUUCCAUUUCAAAAAUCUCCAUUCUUCAUCUUUUACCUUUCAUUUUCAAUCUGGUUCUCGCACACUAUCCCUUUCUUUUUGUUUUUCUACAUAUUCAGGGACUCUUCCUAUUAGGUAAAUCUCCUUCUUACUCUUCAACGUUUCGACUGCAAUAGAAUGUGCUAGGCUAUUUGUUGUUCGUGGAGUGUAUUCAAAUCUGCAUUUUCUUGAUUUAAACAAGAUCUGUUGAAUAUCAUGUAUAUAUGCACCUAUCAGUGACUUAUCCUGACUGUUCGUCUUGCACUUUUUUAUUAUUGAUAAUGAAUCACCUUCAAUGAUAAUGUUUUUCCAUUUCAUGUCGAUGUCGAGUUGUGUUGCUCUUCGACACGCGAGUGCCUCAGCAGCAAAAGCUAAUGCAACUUGUUAAUGGAUCUCUGAGCAUGCUAAGAGAACCUUGCCUUCACUAUUUCUGACCAUAAUCCCUAGUGCUGAAUGACAAAAUCUCCCAUCAUAUGCUGCAUCAAAGUUGAUCUUCAUAAACUAAUCGGGUGGGUGCUUCCAUUUACUAACAACUGGAAAAAUUUUGGGGCUUAUCUUUUCAAUCUCAUUUAAUUCUAAAAUAUAACUGUGAACAAAACUCAUUAUUUUUUUUUUAGAUCUGCUGACCUUUCUGUGCACUCUAGCGUUCCUAUCUCCCCAUAUUGCCAAUAAAACGCAACAAAAAAUCCUACACUAGAAUGAAGUGUUCUGCUCAAAAACCCAGGUUAGCCACUGUAAAAACUCCAAAUGAGGUUCUAGUAGAAAAGUCUGACAUGCUAACUCUCUCAAUACUGAUACUGAAGCAGGACAUUCUCAGCUAGAUGGUCCAUAGUCUCUGUUCCACUUUCAUACCGGGGGCAUAUCGUAGUGUUUGUUAACUAUCUAUGUUGCAUACUGACCCGUAUAUGAAGAUAGUUCCAUGAUAUUUUCCAGACUGUAAUUUUUAUUUUUGAAGGUAGAUUGAGUAGCCAUAAUUUUUUAUAGAAUCCCUUAUAGUCGGUUUGUAAAGCAUACGUUCUAGGAUCUUCUUUAAUGCUUUGUAAUAGUUUAUAAGUGUUGCAUACUAUAUACUCUCCCGAAGGCUCACCGCUCCAUGUUAGAAAAUCAUCGUGAGGUUCAACUGCCAGUGGGAUGCGCAAAAUCCUAUCAGCUACUUCUUUUGGAAAGGUAGAAUCUAUCAACUCUUUUUUCCACAGUCUGCUACUGGUAUCAAUUAACUCAACAACUUUAAAAUCACUCAAAUUAUUAACUAAAGAUGAUAAUCUGAAAAUUCUUACAUCAGAAAUCCAAAUGUCGUUAAGAACCGAAAUAUUUGUACCCCUGUCCACCUUCUAGCAUAGUCAUUCCUCUUAAAUGCCCUUCGUAGCCCAUAUGUUUUUCCAUGCAUACGGACAAUUAUUCCUCAAACGCGCAUCUAAAAAAUUCACUCAGAAAGUAUUUUGCUUUUAAAACUUGCGC
RNAcentral lists this long non-coding RNA (1727 nucleotides) under Gossypium barbadense (sea-island cotton). Its description in RNAcentral is "long non-coding RNA (GBAR_LNC016065)". Lineage: Eukaryota; Viridiplantae; Streptophyta; Magnoliopsida; Malvales; Malvaceae. The record is from RNAcentral.